This 408-nucleotide ribosomal RNA is filed under the name uncultured bacterium. Its description in RNAcentral is "partial 16S ribosomal RNA". It matches the Rfam family "Bacterial small subunit ribosomal RNA", at positions 28 to 526 of the family's 1533-position model. The record is from RNAcentral.
GACGAACGCUGGCGGCGUGCUUAACACAUGCAAGUCGAACGGAGUGGCGAACGGGUGAGUAACACGUGGGUGACCUGCCCUGCACUUCGGGAUAAGCCUGGGGAACUGGGUCUAAUACCGGAUAGUGUGGGAUGGGCCCGCGGCCUAUCAGCUUGUUGGUGGGGUAAUGGCCUACCAAGGCGGCGACGGGUAGCGGGCCUGAGAGGGGGGACGGCCAGAUUGGGAGUGGGAGAAGGGCCAGAGCACUACGGGAGGCAGCAGUGGGGAAUAAUGCACAAUGGGGGGAAGCCUGAUGCAGGGACGCCGAGUGGGGGAUGACGGCCUUCGGGUUGUAAGCUCCUUUCACCAUCGACGCGGUAGAUGGAGAAGAAGCACCGGCUAACUACGUGCCAGCCGCCGCGGUAAUAC